AGGAUUAUAGUUAACCAUAACAUUUGAUUUGCACUCAAAAAGUACUAACCUCUAGUUAAUCUUA
RNAcentral lists this transfer RNA (64 nucleotides) under Isophya major. RNAcentral describes it as "tRNA-Ala". Lineage: Eukaryota; Metazoa; Arthropoda; Insecta; Orthoptera; Tettigoniidae. The record is from RNAcentral.